Molecule: ribosomal RNA, 465 nt
Filed under: uncultured bacterium
Lineage: Bacteria
Description: bacterial SSU rRNA
Rfam family: Bacterial small subunit ribosomal RNA
Source: RNAcentral
GGGCCCGCACAAGCGGUGGAGCAUGUGGUUUAAUUCGACGCAACGCGAAGAACCUUACCUGGGCUUGAACUGUAAUGGACCGGUGCAGAGAUGUGCCUUUUCGCAAGAACUGUUACAGAGGUGCUGCAUGGCUGUCGUCAGCUCGUGUCGUGAGAUGUUGGGUUAAGUCCCGCAACGAGCGCAACCCUUACCUUUAGUUGCCAGCGCGUAAUGGUGGGAACUCUAAAGGGACUGCCCGGGUUAACCGGGAGGAAGGUGGGGAUGAUGUCAAGUCCUCAUGGCCCUUAUGUCCAGGGCUACACACGUGCUACAAUGGGCGAUACAAACCGUCGCGAAGCCGCGAGGUGAAGCUAAUCGGAGAAAGUCGCCCUCAGUUCGGAUUGUAGUCUGCAACUCGACUACAUGAAGGUGGAAUCGCUAGUAAUCGUGUAUCAGAAUGAUACGGUGAAUACGUUCCCGGGCCUU